CCUACGGGAGGCAGCAGUGGGGAAUCUUGCGCAAUGGGCGAAAGCCUGACGCAGCAACGCCGCGUGCGGGAAGAAGGCUUUCGGGCUGUAAACCGCUUUCAGCAGGAACGAAAAUGACGGUACCUGCAGAAGAAGGAGCGGCCGACUAUGUGCCAGCAGCCGCGGUGAUACAUAGGCUUCAAGCGUUGUCCGGAUUUAUUGGGCGUAAAGAGUUCGUAGGCGGUCAAGUAAGUCGGGUGUGAAAAUUCUGGGCCCAACCCAGAGACGCCACCCGAUACUGCUUAACUUGAGUUCGAUAGGGGAGUGGGGAAUUCCUAGUGUAGCGGUGAAAUGCGCAGAUAUUAGGAGGAACACCGGUGGCGAAGGCGCCACUCUGGAUCGAUACUGACGCUGAGGAACGAAAGCAUGGGUAGCAAACAGGAUUAGAUACCCUGGUAGUCCAUGCCGUAAACGGUGGGCACUAGGUGUGGGUUUCUAUUAACGAAAUCCGCGCCGUCGCUAACGCAUUAAGUGCCCCGCCUGGGGGAGUACGGUCGCGAGACUAAACUACAAGAAGUAGACGGCGUGAGACGUGCCGACGACGACGACGAGGGAGUAGG
RNAcentral lists this ribosomal RNA (599 nucleotides) under uncultured bacterium. Its description in RNAcentral is "bacterial SSU rRNA". It matches the Rfam family "Bacterial small subunit ribosomal RNA", at positions 338 to 950 of the family's 1533-position model. The record is from RNAcentral.